Long non-coding RNA from Morus notabilis, 797 nucleotides. RefSeq lists it as uncharacterized. The record is from RefSeq and is a predicted model, not a curated record. NCBI's taxonomy places the organism in Eukaryota, Viridiplantae, Streptophyta, Magnoliopsida, Rosales, Moraceae. The transcript is spliced from 6 exons.
UAGAAUGGCGGCUAUAGAAGAAAUAGCAGGAUGGAUGUGCUUUGCAGUGACAAAAAUAGAACUUUGACAUUGAACAAACUUUCAGUUUGACAAAAAUCUCAUAGAGUUACUUCUUUUGGUCACGAAUAGGCCUGAGCCGGUAUUCACACUGUGCAUUUCCUUCCAUUCAACCUGAUUGAUAAGCGCACAGCUCUCACAUACAUUAACAGUGAAGGAAAAAUGGUGUGCAAGCAAAGGUGCACCUGAGCAGAGAAGAUGGCACAAGUGAUGAAUAAGUUGAGGCUCUCAUUGCCAAAAGCUUGAUGAAAGCUUUAUAUUAGCUCUCAGGGUAAGUUGGAUCCUCUUAUUUGAAGGCAAGAACAAAUAGUAAGAGUUGUUCAAAUUUUAGGCAUGCGAACCAAAAAUAAGCUCUCCUUAAUUGGAGAGCCUGGUGUUGGAAAAACAGCAAUAGCCGAGGGACUUGCUCAGCGGAUUGCAAGUGGUGAUGUUCCCGAAACAGUAGAGGGAGAAAAGCAUGAUUGAUUUUGUCUUCACAUGAGUAAUCAGAGGAAAAGCUGAUAACUGCAGUGGGGAAAAAAAGCUUAUACUUUUGUUAUGGGCACGCCAAACCCAGCGAAACUUGCCAACUUUCCUGAGUUAGAGUGUGGAUGGAUGUAGCAAAAAAACCGGACGCUUUUUUAUGGAGGCCAACGAGUGAGAUGAGUACCAAUGAAGAAGCAAUUUCAAGUAAUGUGGCAUGACUUGUUGAUAAUAUUUUAAAGGGGCAAUGAAGACUCAUGCUUUCGCCAACUAUCUAC